GCUUCUCUUUCUCAUUCGCCCCUUCUUCCAUUUGCUGCAAAUGUCUGGGUCUCACUGUGCCCUGGUCCCAACCCAGACUUUGGGGAGGCGGCACCCCUGCUGCCCUGGGUGCUUGCAGCUCAGCAUUCAGGACCCCCAUGGCUGGGUGGGUUUGGAAAUUGCCGGCUGGAGCUGAUGUGGUGGGUCACAACCUCCUGGUGUUCUGAGUAAGCCGAGAGAUUCUGCCAACCUUGACACACACACACACACACACACACACACACACACACACACACACACGGGGCUCUGGGGACAUCACACACACAUCGGGAGCAACCCCACCAACGUAGGCUGCUAGAAGGCUUCAAUUGGCACAAGGAAACAAAACGCAUUUUUAAGAAUUUCCAUUUCCGAGUCUGUCCUCUAAUACUGAGCUGUCCUAGCAGACAAGCAGGGACAGGCACCGAAGGCCUAAGAGGAAAAGGAACAACAGACGAUUCCAUCUAGACCCUUCCUUUCUAUUCCUUUGUAUUUGGGCCUGACCUGGCGACUCCCCCCAGGGGAUCAGGGCUGUGGGAACACGGAGUGCAGGCGUGAGCAUGGGGGGGUGUAGUCCCGGCCAGCCUGGGCCCUGCCAUGUCACCCUGGGCGGUGUGGCUCCCCCCUUCUUUGGGAGGAGGUGACAAAGGGAAAGUCCUUGGGCAGCUGGAGGAGAGGGCAGGAGGGCCAGAGGGGGUCACACCAGGUGCUCCAGGGUAUCUGGUGAAUGAUGGGAUAAACGGCUUUCCGUGACUCCCACGGGCCCGAAUGCAACAAUCACUCAGUAUUUGGGGGAGACGGAACGGGUGUCAAAUGAGGAAACGGGCCAGGGGGCUCCCCCGGCCGCGAAGAGACGUGGACUCCGAGACCGGCCCUCCCCGCAGCACAUCACAGCUCCCCGUUCACUCCAUCCUCCCCAUCUGGAGAAGAGGGAGGGAGCCAGGCACGCCGGAAGGAGGGGUCGUCUGCAGAUCCGGAUCCUGAGAGGCAGCGGAGGCCCGACUUCGCGACUUCUCAGCUCUCGCUCGGGCCGUUCCCUCCACCUGGAGGGCCCCUGCCCGCCUCGGGGCGGCCACAGCCUCAGCAUCUCCGGCCCCGGCAGCCCGCCCCACCGCCGGCCGCUCCCCACCGCUCUCCCUCCAGGGCCAGGGGCGAGCGCAGCCCCGCGGCCGGGCCUCCCGGGACGACUCCGCGGCCCCCAGACAGCGCGGCGCUCCGAACCCCAGGUGAGAAGACUGAGGCUCCAUGCGGUUAAGGAACUUGAAGGUCACACAAGUGAGAAGGGGAGGUCAGUUGAUGUCCAUGUUAUCAGGUCUGUGCGGAGUCUCCACCUUUGUCUGAUUGGUCCCUCCAGUGGUACUUGUCACGGCUGCCGGCUCCCUCUUCUCGGAAACACCUUCCCGGACACCAUGCUGGUCCGUCCUCCUCCUCCCUGGCCAACCCCCAUGCUCCUUUGCAGACCCCCUCUCCUCCCCAUGCUCAGCUCUUGAUCUGCUCCUCCCCGCCCCACCCUGUCACACUGCCCCCUGGCUUUGAAGACAUCUGUCAGUUGAUGAUGCCCAAACGUGGCCAGGGCCACACUUCUCACUCCACCCCGAGUCCAAGCCACCAGACUCUCCCAGGCUGAGUGCAGGGAUCCCUCUCACUGGUAUUCCGCCUCCCCGACACCCCGCUCCAAAUAGCACCAGAGGGAUGGCAGUAGAGCCAGGUCAGGUCACAUCCCUCCCCUGCCUCACUCUGACCUCAUCCCCUUCUUCUCUAUCGAGGACUCUGCCCGGCCACACUGGCCUCCUUGCUGGCGCUCACCCCCGCCCCCCACUCCCACUCCUCUGCCUGGAACAGCCUUGCCCAGGUAUUUACACAGCUCUGUCCCUCACCUCCUUCACGUUCAAGCUUCAAUGUCAGCUUCCCGGAUCCUGUUUCAAACUGGACAUGCCCAUCCUGCCUUGACUUUUCACCAUACACUUAUGUGACAUGCUUUAUGUCUCACGUAUGCAUUUAUUUUAUUGCCAAUCCCCUGUACUAGAAUGCGAGCUCCACAGGGCAGGGGUUCCUGCUGACUUAUUCCCUGCUGUGUCUCCCUCCUGGAACAGUGCCUGAAACAGAGUAACCAGGCACGCAACAAACAUGUGUGGAAUGAAUAAACCUGUACC
Hipposideros armiger (great roundleaf bat) is the source of this 2171-nucleotide RNA transcript. It is a transcript of the gene named translation initiation factor IF-2-like, with no coding region annotated. Lineage: Eukaryota; Metazoa; Chordata; Mammalia; Chiroptera; Hipposideridae. The transcript has 4 exons. The record is from RefSeq and is a predicted model, not a curated record.